GUAUUUAUCUGGUUUGGAAUAUACCAUGAUCACGAAGGUGGUUUUUUUCAGUAUGAGGUUCAUUUGUUGUACUUUGGGUGUGCUGAUCCUUGGGAUUUUACCCGAAUGUGGAAAGCUCAGCGCCUAAUUUAUGGUUGGGGGGUGACUGUGUUUGCGUUUUUUUCUG
Choloepus hoffmanni (Hoffmann's two-fingered sloth) is the source of this 166-nucleotide small nuclear RNA. Its record names the gene U1. It matches the Rfam family "U1 spliceosomal RNA". Rfam says of the family: U1 is a small nuclear RNA (snRNA) component of the spliceosome (involved in pre-mRNA splicing). Its 5' end forms complementary base pairs with the 5' splice junction, thus defining the 5' donor site of an intron. Lineage: Eukaryota; Metazoa; Chordata; Mammalia; Pilosa; Megalonychidae. The record is from Ensembl.